This 405-nucleotide ribosomal RNA is filed under the name uncultured bacterium. RNAcentral describes it as "bacterial SSU rRNA". It matches the Rfam family "Bacterial small subunit ribosomal RNA", at positions 355 to 776 of the family's 1533-position model. The record is from RNAcentral.
UGAGGAAUAUUGCGCAAUGGGCGAAAGCCUGACGCAGCAACGCCGCGUGGAGGACGAAGGCCUUCGGGUCGUAAACUCCUUUUCCGGGGAACGAGGAAGGACGGUACCCCGGGAAUAAGUCUCGGCUAACUACGUGCCAGCAGCCGCGGUAAAACGUAGGAGGCGAGCGUUAUCCGGAUUUACUGGGCGUAAAGCGCACGCAGGUGGCUUCGUAAGUCGGACAUGAAAGCUCCUGGCUUAACUGGGAGAGGUGGUUCGAUACUGCGGGGCUUGAGGUUGGGAGAGGGACGUGGAAUUCCCGGUGUAGUGGUGGAAUGCGUAGAUAUCGGGAGGAACACCAGUGGCGCAAGCGGCGUCCUGGCCCACACCUGACGCUGAGGUGCGAAAGCGUGGGGAGCAAACAGG